AGCCAUGCAUGUCUAAGUAUAAGCACUUGUACUGUGAAACUGCGAAUGGCUCAUUAAAUCAGUUAUCGUUUAUUUGAUUGUACCUUACUACAUGGAUACCUGUGGUAAUUCUAGAGCUAAUACAUGCGAAAAGUCCCAACUUCUGGAAGGGAUGUAUUUAUUAGAUUAAAAACCAAUGCAAGUCUUCGGGCUCGUUUUCUUGGUGAUUCAUGAUAACUUUUCGAAUCGCAUGGCCUAGAGCCGGCGAUACUUCAUUCAAAUUUCUGCCCUAUCAACUGUCGAUGGUAAGGUAGUGGCUUACCAUGGUUAUAACGGGUGACGGAGAAUUAGGGUUCGAUUCCGGAGAGGGAGCCUGAGAAACGACUACCACAUCUAAGGAAGGCAGCAGGCUCGAAAAUUACCCAAUCCCGACUCGGGGAGGUAGUGACAAGAAAUAACGAUACGGGGUCUUAAUAGGUCUCGCAAUUGGAAUGAGUACAAUUUAAAUCCUUUAACGAGGAUCAAUUGGAGGGCAAGUCUGGUGCCAGCAGCCGCGGUAAUUCCAGCUCCAAUAGCGUAUAUUAAAGUUGUUGCAGUUAAAAAGCUCGUAGUUGGAUUUCGGAGUGGGCCAGUUGGUCCGCCGCAAGGUGUGUUACUGACUGGUUUGCUCUUCUUCGCAAAGACUGCGUGUGCUCUUGAGUGAGUGUGCGUAGAAUUUACGACGUUUACUUUGAAAAAAUUAGAGUGUUCAAAGCAGGCUAUUGCUUGAAUACAUGAGCAUGGAAUAAUGGAAUAGGACUUUGGUCCCAUUUUGUUGGUUUCUAGGGCCGAAGUAAUGAUUAAGAGGGACAAUUGGGGGCAUCCGUAUUUCGUUGUCAGAGGUGAAAUUCUUGGAUUUACGAAAGACGAACAACUGCGAAAGCACUUGCCAAGAGUGUUUUCAUUAAUCAAGAACGAAAGUUAGAGGAUCGAAGACGAUC
This 959-nucleotide ribosomal RNA is filed under the name uncultured eukaryote. RNAcentral describes it as "SSU rRNA". It matches the Rfam family "Eukaryotic small subunit ribosomal RNA", at positions 47 to 1009 of the family's 1831-position model. The record is from RNAcentral.